This 69-nucleotide transfer RNA is filed under the name Ictidomys tridecemlineatus (thirteen-lined ground squirrel). Its description in RNAcentral is "Spermophilus tridecemlineatus (thirteen-lined ground squirrel) tRNA". It matches the Rfam family "tRNA". From Rfam's summary of the family: Transfer RNA (tRNA) molecules are approximately 80 nucleotides in length. Their secondary structure includes four short double-helical elements and three loops (D, anti-codon, and T loops). Lineage: Eukaryota; Metazoa; Chordata; Mammalia; Rodentia; Sciuridae. The record is from Rfam by way of RNAcentral.
GGGGCUGUAGCUCAGUGGCAGAGCGUUUGCCUUGCACAUGUGAGGCACUGGGUUCAAUCCUCAGCCCCA